Molecule: ribosomal RNA, 216 nt
Filed under: Glomeromycotina sp.
Lineage: Eukaryota; Fungi; Glomeromycota
Description: partial small subunit ribosomal RNA
Rfam family: Eukaryotic small subunit ribosomal RNA (bases 40-216)
Source: RNAcentral
GGGUCAGUAGGUUGGUCGUGCCACCGGUACGUACUGGUCUCACUGAUUCCUCCUUCCUGAAGAACCGUAAUGCCAUUAAUUUGGUGUUGUGGGGAAACAGGACUGUUACUUUGAAAAAAUUAGAGUGUUUAAAGCAAGCUAACGCUUGAAUACAUUAGCAUGGAAUAAUGAAAUAGGACGAUCGAUCCUAUUUUAUUGGUUUCUAGGAUUGACGUA